This 497-nucleotide ribosomal RNA is filed under the name uncultured bacterium. Its description in RNAcentral is "partial 16S ribosomal RNA". It matches the Rfam family "Bacterial small subunit ribosomal RNA", at positions 28 to 507 of the family's 1533-position model. The record is from RNAcentral.
GAUGAACGCUGGCGGCGUGCCUAAUACAUGCAAGUCGAGCGAACAGAUGAGGAGCUUGCUCCUCUGACGUUAGCGGCGGACGGGAGAGUAACACGUGGAUAACCUACCUAUAAGACUGGGAUAACUUCGGGAAACCGGAGCUAAUACCGGAUAAUCUAUUGAACCGCAUGGUUCAAUAGUGAAAGACGGUUUUGCUGUCACUUAUAGAUGGAUCCGAGCCGCAUUAGCUAGUUGGUAAGGUAACGGCUUACCAAGGCAACGAUGCGUAGCCGACCUGAGGGGGCGAUCGGCCACACUGGAACUGAGACACGGUCCAGACUCCUACGGGAGGCAGCAGUAGGGAAUCUUCCGCAAUGGUCGAAAGCCUGACGGAGCAACGCCGCGUGAGUUAUGAAGGUCUUCGGAUCGUAAAACUCUGUUAUUAGGUAAGAACAAAUGUGUAAGUAACUAUGCACGUCUUGACGGUACCUAAUCAGAAAGCCACGGCUAACUACGUG